This 487-nucleotide ribosomal RNA is filed under the name uncultured bacterium. RNAcentral's name for it is "partial 16S ribosomal RNA". It matches the Rfam family "Bacterial small subunit ribosomal RNA", at positions 30 to 508 of the family's 1533-position model. The record is from RNAcentral.
AUUGAACGCUGGCGGCAUGCCUUACACAUGCAAGUCGAACGGCAGCACGGGUGCUUGCCCCUGGUGGCGAGUGGCGAACGGGUGAGUAAUACAUCGGAACAUGUCCUGUAGUGGGGGAUAGCCCGGCGAAAGCCGGAUUAAUACCGCAUACGAUCCACGGAUGAAAGCGGGGGACCUUCGGGCCUCGCGCUAUAGGGUUGGCCGAUGGCUGAUUAGCUAGUUGGUGGGGUAAAGGCCUACCAAGGCGACGAUCAGUAGCUGGUCUGAGAGGACGACCAGCCACACUGGGACUGAGACACGGCCCAGACUCCUACGGGAGGCAGCAGUGGGGAAUUUUGGACAAUGGGCGAAAGCCUGAUCCAGCAAUGCCGCGUGUGUGAAGAAGGCCUUCGGGUUGUAAAGCACUUUUGUCCGGAAAGAAAUCCUUGGCUCUAAUACAGUCGGGGGAUGACGGUACCGGAAGAAUAAGCACCGGCUAACGACGUGC